RNAcentral lists this ribosomal RNA (478 nucleotides) under uncultured bacterium. Its description in RNAcentral is "partial 16S ribosomal RNA". It matches the Rfam family "Bacterial small subunit ribosomal RNA", at positions 28 to 507 of the family's 1533-position model. The record is from RNAcentral.
GAUGAACGCUAGCGGCAGGCCUAACACAUGCAAGUCGAGGGAGAAGCCCUUUCGGGGGCAGAAACCGGCGCACGGGUGCGUAACGCGUAUGCAACCUACCUUUCACAGGGGGAUAGCCCGAAGAAAUUUGGAUUAAUACCCCAUAAUAUUAUUGGAUGGCAUCAUUUGAUAAUUAAAACUGCGGUGGUGAAAGAUGGGCAUGCGUCCUAUUAGCUAGUUGGAGUGGUAACGGCACCCCAAGGCUACGAUAGGUAGGGGUCCUGAGAGGGAGAUCCCCCACACUGGUACUGAGACAGGGACCAGACUCCUACGGGAGGCAGCAGUGAGGAAUAUUGGUCAAUGGUCGGAGGACUGAACCAGCCAUGCCGCGUGCAGGAAGAAUGCCUUAUGGGUUGUAAACUGCUUUUAUAUGGGAAGAAUAAGGCGUACGUGUACGUUGAUGACGGUACCAUAUGAAUAAGCAUCGGCUAACUCCGUG